This 72-nucleotide transfer RNA is filed under the name Camelus bactrianus (Bactrian camel). It matches the Rfam family "tRNA". From Rfam's summary of the family: Transfer RNA (tRNA) molecules are approximately 80 nucleotides in length. RNAcentral also lists the same sequence under 1 other name. Lineage: Eukaryota; Metazoa; Chordata; Mammalia; Artiodactyla; Camelidae. The record is from Rfam by way of RNAcentral.
GGGCGUACAGAUCAGUGGUAGAGCACGUGCUUGGCGUGCACAAGGUCCUGGGUUCAAUCCUCAGUGCCUCCG